GUCGGCGAUACGCUCCUGG
RNAcentral lists this non-coding RNA (19 nucleotides) under Arabidopsis thaliana (thale cress). Lineage: Eukaryota; Viridiplantae; Streptophyta; Magnoliopsida; Brassicales; Brassicaceae. The record is from RNAcentral.